GCCUUCGUGGUGUAGUGGUCAGCACGCUCGACGCGUAACCGAGAGGUCCGUGGUUCGAUUCCCGGCGAAGGUG
Stegodyphus mimosarum is the source of this 73-nucleotide non-coding RNA. NCBI's taxonomy places the organism in Eukaryota, Metazoa, Arthropoda, Arachnida, Araneae, Eresidae. The record is from Rfam.